Molecule: ribosomal RNA, 550 nt
Filed under: uncultured bacterium
Lineage: Bacteria
Description: bacterial SSU rRNA
Rfam family: Bacterial small subunit ribosomal RNA
Source: RNAcentral
UAGGGAAUCUUCGGCAAUGGACGGAAGUCUGACCGAGCAACGCCGCGUGAGUGAAGAAGGUUUUCGGAUCGUAAAGCUCUGUUGUAAGAGAAGAACGAGUGUGAGAGUGGAAAGUUCACACUGUGACGGUAUCUUACCAGAAAGGGACGGCUAACUACGUGCCAGCAGCCGCGGUAAUACGUAGGUCCCGAGCGUUGUCCGGAUUUAUUGGGCGUAAAGCGAGCGCAGGCGGUUAGAUAAGUCUGAAGUUAAAGGCUGUGGCUUAACCAUAGUAGGCUUUGGAAACUGUUUAACUUGAGUGCAAGAGGGGAGAGUGGAAUUCCAUGUGUAGCGGUGAAAUGCGUAGAUAUAUGGAGGAACACCGGUGACGAAAGCGGCUCUCUGGCUUGUAACUGACGCUGAGGCUCGAAAGCGUGGGGAGCAAACAGGAUUAGAUACCCUGGUAGUCCACGCUGUAAACGAUGAGUGCUAGGUGUUAGACCCUUUCCGGGGUUUAGUGCCGUAGCUAACGCAUUAAGCACUCCGCCUGGGGAGUACGACCGCAAGGUUG